UAGAAUUUAGUUGAUUUACAACAUUAAAUUGCAAGUUUAAAAGAAUAUAUUUAGUUCUAU
Molecule: transfer RNA, 60 nt
Filed under: Hirudo verbana
Lineage: Eukaryota; Metazoa; Annelida; Clitellata; Hirudinida; Hirudinidae
Description: tRNA-Cys
Source: RNAcentral